CCCUCUCUUGCUAUUAAUUUUAAUGCUAUUAGUUUUAAGUAUUGGAUGAUUGUGUAGUGGAUGAUAUGCCAUUUUGCCCGAUGGAUGAUUAUGCAUGUUUUGCUACAUAGAUGGCUUGUUGUAGAUUAAUGUUCUAUGUAUAGGAUUUUUUUUAUGAUGUACUGGUAGUUGAUAGUACAAUUUUUUGGAAUAAUAGCCCCUGAAUUUUUAGAUGGAAAAGUUAGCACAGAUGAUUAGAGUCCUACUGGAGAUGACGUGGAUACAGGUGCAUUGCGUGACGAUAUUGCUACCGCUAUGGUUUCGUGGUUUAGUUCUAUCCAUCAUUUAAUGUAUUCGGAAUUUAGAAAUUAGUGUUGGUAUAUCUUUUGGUAUAUUUGUGACAUUAACCUAUAUUUGAUCUAAUUGUAAUAUAAUUAUGUAGUCAAGAUAUUCAGUAGAAAAAAGAGAUAUCAUCAGCCUUAGGGGCACUUCAGACAUUUUACCACACUCAAAAUAAUCAGGAUUGCCAAACACCUAGCUUAUCUAGAUAGCCGAUUCUACAGACAGCUAGUUUAUCACAGAAUGUUGCUUCUCAGAAAAGCGAGCUCCAGAACCUCUCAGCUCUCGCAAUUUGGAUCUGUGGAUCUCAAUUGUGUGGAAAGCCAGGAAGCGUCAAGGGUGUUCUUCUGAUGCUGCUCCGGAUGCUCAUGCUCAUAGCCCACCCAAGUCGGAAACCUGCCGUAUAAGUGAGCCUCUCGCCCGUCGCCAUCCUCCUCCCAACCCCAACCACACGGAAGGCAAAACUCGAUGGCGUAGCGAAGACAACAAACGAAACCCUAGAGCGGACCCUUGCUUUUAGUAGUGCAUGCGUACCGCCUUGGGUCGUAACUAGAAUCUUGGGUUACAGUUUGGGGUGGGAGUGGGGGAUAUUGUACGGGAUCAUGGGGCUUCCGCGGGUCGGCAGGAGGGUUGUGGUGCGGCUGUCCGGGAUCAUGGGGAUUCCGUGGUGUUUCUUGAACUGUGGAUCGGCUGUAGGGCUUUGGCGCCCCUGGAAGAGUGGAAGGGGCUGAUCCAUGGCUGAUUUCACACUUGAUAUCUGAACGGGUGAUUCUUUUAAGUUAGUUGUUUCUUGGUAACCCUCAUUGCAUUUGUGACUAAUGUGUUUGCAGUUGCCCAGUUGGGGUAUAGUGGUGUGAUCUCACUGCUGUUUUGAUACGCUCUCUGGUUUCCAAUCUCCCUCAAUCCCCUCCAAUACGAUGCAAACCGAACAAGGCCUUAGUGUCCAGCUGUUCCUGCCAAAGGCCGGGGAGGGGUUUUGCGGAAGAUGGGGGGUGUCGUCUGGGAUUAGGAAAUUCCAUUGUGUUUCUGGAGCCGUGUCGGUCGUCAGGAGGGCUGUGGUUAGGUUGUAUGGGGCCUCUGAUGUAUGGCUUACUUCACGUUUGAUGUUUGAAUGGGCAGUUGUUUUUUUCCUUGGUAAACCCUGAUUGCCUAAGUUGAUUGACUUCUGUGUUUGCAGUUGACUAGUUGGGGAAUCUUGGUUUGAUCUUACUGUUGUUUGAGAUGCCCUCUGGCUUUGCCAUUUUCAGAUUUGAUGGCAUUCAUCUGUUCCUACCCAACGCCAAGGAGAUGAUUAGCUAUUAAAGUUGAAGACUCAUGAACCUGAUUAUGACGGUAUACUUCUGCAGCGAACUUCCGUGACCAUCCACAGGGAGAUGGUGACGGCCCGUGGAGUUCUGACUGAUACAGUAGAAAAAUUGAAGUUGUUGACCACAGAAGCUAAUGGAUACCCUGAGAACUCUGAAGGUCUCGUGAAGCAAGAAACGUCGUAAGCUCUGUUAGUUUGUGAGUUCAGCCUUGAACUAGCUUAGAGGAUUCUAUUAGUUAAGCUGUUGAUUCAUCGCCGUGGUAUUGUGGCUGCAAACAUUGAUGUAAGAUAAAUUGCGGCUGUUACUUUAGCAUUUUCAGUUUCAUUCAAUCCAGUGCCAUUAUUCUUCUUCCAGCGUUACUGUGGACAAAAUUUAGCA
This is an RNA transcript of Panicum hallii, 2003 nucleotides long. RefSeq lists it as uncharacterized. The transcript has 2 exons. NCBI's taxonomy places the organism in Eukaryota, Viridiplantae, Streptophyta, Magnoliopsida, Poales, Poaceae. The record is from RefSeq and is a predicted model, not a curated record.